CCUACGGGAGGCAGCAGUGGGGAAUUUUGGACAAUGGGGGCAACCCUGAUCCAGCCAUGCCGCGUGAGUGAAGAAGGCCUUCGGGUUGUAAAGCUCUUUCGGCCGGGAAGAAAUCGCCAUCUCCUAUACGGGGGGUGGAUGAUGGUACCGGACUAAGAAGCACCGGCUNACUACGUGCCAGCAGCCGCGGUAAU
Molecule: ribosomal RNA, 194 nt
Filed under: uncultured bacterium
Lineage: Bacteria
Description: partial 16S ribosomal RNA
Rfam family: Bacterial small subunit ribosomal RNA
Source: RNAcentral